Molecule: ribosomal RNA, 442 nt
Filed under: uncultured bacterium
Lineage: Bacteria
Description: partial 16S ribosomal RNA
Rfam family: Bacterial small subunit ribosomal RNA
Source: RNAcentral
CCUACGGGAGGCUGCAGUGGGGAAUAUUGGGCAAUGGGCGCAAGCCUGACCCAGCAACGCCGCGUGAAGGAAGAAGGCUUUCGGGUUGUAAACUUCUUUUAAGAGGGAAGAGCAGAAGACGGUACCUCUUGAAUAAGCCACGCCUAACUACGUGCCAGCAGCUGCGGUAAUACGUAGGUGGCAAGCGUUGUCCGGAUUUACUGGGUGUAAAGGGCGUGCAGCCGGGAAGACAAGUCAGAUGUGAAAUCCCGCGGCUCAACCGUGGAACUGCAUUCGAAACUGUUUUUCUUGAGUACCGGAGAGGUCAGCGGAAUUCCUUGUGUAGCGGUGAAAUGCGUAGAUAUAAGGAAGAACACCAGUGGCGAAGGCAGAUGACUGGACGGCAACUGACGGUGAGGCGCGAAGGCGUGGGGAGCAAACAGGAUUAGAUACCCGAGUAGUC